Molecule: ribosomal RNA, 404 nt
Filed under: Actinomycetes bacterium
Lineage: Bacteria; Bacillati; Actinomycetota; Actinomycetes
Description: Actinobacteria bacterium partial 16S ribosomal RNA
Rfam family: Bacterial small subunit ribosomal RNA
Source: RNAcentral
UGGGGAAUAUUGGACAAUGGGCGCAAGCCUGAUCCAGCCAUGCCGCGUGAGUGAUGAAGGCCCUAGGGUUGUAAAGCUCUUUCACCGGUGAAGAUAAUGACGGUAACCGGAGAAGAAGCCCCGGCUAACUUCGUGCCAGCAGCCGCGGUAAUACGAAGGGGGCUAGCGUUGUUCGGAUUUACUGUGCGUAAAGCGCACGUAGGCGGACUUUUAAGUCAGGGGUGAAAUCCCGGGGCUCAACCCCGGAACUGCCUUUGAUACUGGAAGUCUUGAGUAUGGUAGAGGUGAGUGGAAUUCCGAGUGUAGAGGUGAAAUUCGUAGAUAUUCGGAGGAACACCAGUGGCGAAGGCGGCUCACUGGACCAUUACUGACGCUGAGGUGCGAAAGCGUGGGGAGCAAACAGG